UUUAUUACGUUAUUGCUGUCAUAAACCCUUAUCUAAAAAUUACGCGAGGUAUACGAGAGUCAUUUUAAUGCCACGAACUACCAAAUGGCUAAAAAGUAAUUUGCACAAUAAGCAACUGAAUGUCACGCGCUAUGUCGCUCGUGAAAUCAAUUAAUUUUCACUUUAAAGAUGCUUUCUGCGGAUAUAAAACCCAAAUGUUCCUUGAAUCAAGUUAAAUUUUAAAGAUCUAGUGUCAUAUUAGGUUUUACAGAGCAUUGAAAAGUGAGUUUAUAUUAUAAAUAUAUAUUUGUUACUUUUUUAUAAAGGAAUGCAAAGGCCUGUUUCUGUUCCACCACAUAUAUACAUACGUACUACAACAAAUACUAACUAAUCCUUUAAAUCAUCGCGCCACCAACCACGGUUAAAGACGUGGAUUAUAUUUCAUCAAAAAAAAUAUUAAUAUAAAUUCUGAAAGCGAUUUACAGAACAUGUAAAAUAAUUACAAGCACAAGGGACCUUGUAACUUAACUCUAGCAACACCUAUGUAAUUUAAAUCUUGCUAGUAAACUAAACUUAUUUGCCUGAUAAGACAAUGUCAACCAACGCGAAAGCGAUUACCAAGAUGUCAUCAAGAAUACCAUAUACAUCUCUAGUGCUAUUAAUGGUAGCUCUGAUACUGCUUGACAUAAUUUUUGUGUCAGCAAGACCGAAUGGGUGUGUAAGUUACAGAAGGAAAAAAGACAAAUCUGGAAAGUACAUCUGUUUUGAAGUGCCUAAAAGUCCUUAUGCAUACUACUAUUAUUAUCCACAUUAUAACUACUACCCAUAUUAUUUUUACUACCCAUAUUACUAUGGCUAAUAAAUGAUGUAAAUUUU
Nymphalis io (European peacock) is the source of this 855-nucleotide long non-coding RNA. RefSeq lists it as uncharacterized. Lineage: Eukaryota; Metazoa; Arthropoda; Insecta; Lepidoptera; Nymphalidae. The transcript is spliced from 3 exons. The record is from RefSeq and is a predicted model, not a curated record.